Molecule: long non-coding RNA, 2811 nt
Organism: Solanum dulcamara
Lineage: Eukaryota; Viridiplantae; Streptophyta; Magnoliopsida; Solanales; Solanaceae
Exons: 3
Source: RefSeq, a predicted model, not a curated record
UCAAAAAGAGAAGAAUGACCGCCUCUCUCCCUCUCUAUACUCUCUACUUCAUCUUCUCAAAAGAGAAGAGAAGACAAGGCACCUACACGCCCUAUUCUCCAUCUUCACCAUACCCACGCUCCUUCCUCUCCUAUGGCCCUUUAUCAGAAAAGAUGAAGAUCCCCUUCCCCACCUCUUUCUUCUUUAUUCAAUUUUCAGAAAAUCCGCUGAAUUGUUUGGAAACUUUUGGCUCAAAUCAAGAAAAGGUGAGAUUAGUGGAAUCUUUUCCCCACCUCCUUCCGGUUUUUCCUCAAAAAGGGGUUUGAUUUUUGUUCAAAUCCAGAUUUUUUAAAUUCGGAUUUGCCUAUAAAUAACAAGGCUUUUCACCUGUUCAAAAGAGGGGAAGAAGAACAGAGAUCCAAGAGAAAAAAUCAACAUCUAAGAAUCCAAUUGAAACUUCAAAAAAACUGUCUUUUAUUUUUUGCUUUGAAUUCAAGUUCGGAAAGGGUUUCGAAGUGAAAUUCUUGGCGAAAAGUCCCUUAGUUUGCUGCUCUACACAAGGAACCGGCGUUGCUCCACAUUUACCUCCUUGUGACUAGUUUAAUUGUUGAAGGCUACUACCUUGGAUCAUGCCUCAUAGAAGAGCUCCAUUGAGAUGGAAUGUGAAUCAAAAUAAGGAAUAACAAAAACCUCAAGCUAUAGUUGAUCCUUUGGCCGAGCAAGUCACUCAAGUCGAAUUUAGGGUUACUUCCAAGUGUUGUCCCAAUCUAUAGAUUAUAGCUCUUGUGAACUCAAAUGUGGGUAUAUGGAAACAAGAAGGGAUCGUUACUAAACAAGGAUGAAUCCUUUGGAAUAUCAUGGUUCAAAGGUGGUCAAGCAUCUACAAGAGUUUGUUAAGGGGAUUUAAAAGAUCGUGGAUAUUAUGUGUAUGACUCUUGUUGAAAAGGCAGACUUGGCCACUUACCAAUUGAAAUAGGUUGAUCAAGUGUGACUUAGCCAUGGGAAGGAAGAGAGGGCUAUUGAUGCAGGUCCCUUGGAUUAGGACAUGUUUAAGUAGCUUUUCUAGAUCAGUUUUUCCCUCUUGAGAUGUGAGAGUCUAAAUUCUAAGAGUUCAUAAACCUAAAACAAGGUAAUAUGAGUUUGAAGGAAUACUCUUUGAAGUUAACUCAAAUCUCCUAGUAUGCUCUGGGAAUGGUAGCCAACUCUAACACUCGAAUGAGAAAGUUUGUUUUCGGUGUUUUUGAGAGAAUUGUGAAGGAAUGUAGAACCACUAUGUUGAUUAAGGAGAUUGAAAUCUUGAGGUUGAUGACUGUUGCUCAAAAUAUUGAUGUGGAAAAGCUUAACGAGAAAGCUAGGGAGAUAAAAAGGGUGCAAAUAGAUAGUUGUGAUUACUCUCAUCAGAAAUCUGGUGGUGGUGGUCAUUUUCAUUUUAGAUAAAAAUUUCUCGACAUGACUUUAUCUAGUGCUCUGAUUUAGAAGUUCAACGAAGCUAGUAUGCCUAACCCUGAGCCUCAAGGGAGGGCUCCUAGUGGUCUGAUUUUCCCUGCAUGUUGCAGAUGUGGGAAGAACUAUCUGAGAGAUUGGUUAGCUGGUUCAGGUUCAUGGUUUCAUUGUAGUAAUACAUUCCAUAGAUUAAGGGAUUGCCUAUAUGCCUAUAACAAGGUUAGAUACAUCAGCAAACUUAUCCUAGUACUUCUCAAGUUGCCCAACUCAGUAGGGUACUUCAUCUGAUUCUGGUGGUAGAUAACUCCAAGGCAGGUUCUAUGCUCAUAAUACUUGACAUGAUUAGGAGGAUUCUCUUGAUGUGGUAAAUGGUAUUUUCCUGAUCCAAGCUAGGCCCUAGGAAUAACAUGGCGAUCGAAACCCCAAUAGAGUCCAAUCAAGCCUCUUAGCAUAUUAUUCAUGAACAUAGAUAAGGUAAAUGAGAAAAUAAUCUAAUCAUAAAAGUAUAAGUAAUGACUCAAUAGGAAUAUCUCAAUAAAGGAGAAAAGAGAUCAAAAGAUGCGACAACAUAUACUCUAUGAACAUCUAACAUGCCUCUACUAAUUUGAUGGGGGCGUAAGACAAGCUCCUAACUCAUCCAUGACAACAUAAGAGAGUAAUAUGACAUAGUAAAAUAACAUAAUGAAAAUAAAGUGUCACAUCCUUGGAACAUGAGGACUCAAAAUCAAUACAACAAUCACAAGCUCUACCAUGAAUAGGAGGAUGGGUUAGAUCGUUGGACCCCACAUUAUGAUAUAAUAUAGGUAAAAGUAUGUGUUAGUACAUGAAAUACACUAAGUAUGUGAGAAGUAUACAUGAACAAUAAAUAUAGGUCAUAAUCAAGAUGAAUCAUGGGCUGAAAGACCAAUAUCUUAAAACAUGAGUAAAGGCAUGAAAAUAAUAAAACAUCAAAACUCAUUGGUCAAUGCAUCAAAACAUCUUUAUCAUAAGAACUUAAUAGAUUUUCUUUAACUGGUGUAGGAUAGGACCUUUAACCAACAUAUAAGACCAUGCGAGCUACAAUAUGGAAUCUAAUGAACCCCAUAUCGAAAGGAGAAGGCUACCUUGCCAGGGUAGACUUCUUGAUGGUACUCUCUCAUUAGCUGUGCUAUAUAUAGAUCCACUAGUUUUGCCAUAUUGUCAUAUUUGAACCUAUGUAGGCAAUGUAGUUUGGGACUUAAGGUUUCUACAAGGAUUCCCUUGGGUAGCUACAAUGGUAUAUCAGACCGAACCCCACCUUAAAUUCCUCUCAGUGCUUAGUCAUUAUCCCAAUAGAAUUUUUAUGAAAACAUUAUCAUUAACAUCAUUAGGAGAGAUAAUAAUACAUAUCAAUCCAUAUUAUAAAGAUAC